This 433-nucleotide ribosomal RNA is filed under the name uncultured bacterium. RNAcentral describes it as "partial 16S ribosomal RNA". It matches the Rfam family "Bacterial small subunit ribosomal RNA", at positions 29 to 507 of the family's 1533-position model. The record is from RNAcentral.
AGCGAACGCUGGCGGCAGGCUUAACACAUGCAAGUCGAGCGGGCCCUUCGGGGUCAGCGGCGGACGGGUGCGUAACGCGUGGGAACGUGCCUUCUGGUCUGGAAUAACCCUGGGAAACUAGGGCUAAUACCGGAUACGCCCUUUUGGGGAAAGGUUUACUGCCGGAAGAUCGGCCCGCGUCUGAUUAGCUAGUUGGUGGGGUAACGGCCUACCAAGGCGACGAUCAGUAGCUGGUCUGAGAGGAUGAUCAGCCACACUGGGACUGAGACACGGCCCAGACUCCUACGGGAGGCAGCAGUGGGGAAUAUUGGACAAUGGGCGCAAGCCUGAUCCAGCCAUGCCGCGUGAGUGAUGAAGGCCUUAGGGUUGUAAAGCUCUUUUAUCGGGGACGAUAAUGACGGUACCGGAGGAAUAAGCCCCGGCUAACUUCGUG